UACAGAGGUGUCAAACGUUGUCCGGAAUUACUGGGCGUAAAGGGCGCGUAGGCGGUCCUAUAAGUCAGAUGUGAAAGCUCCGGGCUCAACCCGGGAAUUGCAUCUGAUACUGUAGGACUUGAGUUCGGUAGAGGAGGGCGGAAUUCCAGGUGUAGCGGUGAAAUGCGUAGAUAUCUGGAGGAACACCCGUGGCGAAGGCGGCUCUCUGGUCCGAAACUGACGCUGAGGUGCGAAAGCUAGGGUAGCAAAC
This 250-nucleotide ribosomal RNA is filed under the name uncultured bacterium. RNAcentral describes it as "partial 16S ribosomal RNA". It matches the Rfam family "Bacterial small subunit ribosomal RNA", at positions 524 to 773 of the family's 1533-position model. The record is from RNAcentral.